Molecule: ribosomal RNA, 253 nt
Filed under: uncultured bacterium
Lineage: Bacteria
Description: partial 16S ribosomal RNA
Rfam family: Bacterial small subunit ribosomal RNA
Source: RNAcentral
UACGUAGGGGGCAAGCGUUGUCCGGAAUUAUUGGGCGUAAAGGGCGCGCAGGCGGUUUCCUAAGUCUGAUGUGAAAGGCCACGGCUCAACCGUGGAAUGGCAUUGGAAACUGGGGAGCUUGAGUACAGGAGAGGAGAGUGGAAUUCCACGUGUAGCGGUGAAAUGCGUAGAGAUGUGGAGGAACACCAGUGGCGAAGGCGGCUCUCUGGCCUGUAACUGACGCUGAGGCGCGAAAGCGUGGGGAGCGAACAGG